Non-coding RNA from Acanthosepion pharaonis, 100 nucleotides. The record is from the annotation of a GenBank genome assembly. Lineage: Eukaryota; Metazoa; Mollusca; Cephalopoda; Sepiida; Sepiidae.
AUCAUGUUGAAACACCAGUUCCUAUACCACCAAAGUUAAGCAACAUCGAACCUGGUCAGUACUUAAAUGGGUGACCACUUGGGAAUACCAGGUGUUAUAU